AUUAUUUGCAACUUUCAACACCAGCUAGAGUCAAACUUGCAUCUUCGAGCACUUUCAGCAGAUUGGCUGAAGUACGUGGAUUCUGUUCCUACGAUGGGUUCUGCUUCUCAUGUUGUGAGAAAUUCUGUACGAGCGUCCAUGAAACAUGGAAUUGGCAGGAAGAGAGCUAGGUUUUUGGAGCUGGAUACAACUUCAUCUUCAAGUUCUGCAAAUGGAUUGAUCUUAUUUUGGUGGAGAGGUGGGAGAAUUUCACGUCAGCUGUUCAAUUGGAAGGUUCUGCCUCGCUCUUUAGCUUCCAAAGCUGCCCGACAAGGUCUGGAGUAUCUAUUCUUCUGUUUAAACUUAGAUCCUUGUGGAAAACACACUUUUCUGAAUAUGUUUGAAGUUUAAACUGUUGCAGGUGGAUGCAAGAAGAUACCAGGCAUCCUUUACCCUGAGAGUGGAGAAUACGCAAAAAGGAGUAAAUGUGUUGCCUGGCGAGCUUCUGUUGAGACAUCAAUAAGCGUGGAACAGCUUGCUUUCCAGGCAUGUCUCUCUUAUGAUUCAAUAUGCCUCCCACCUUCAUUCCAAUAUUUGCUUUCCAUUCACCUUGGCCUAAAGGCCAACCAGAUGUAAAAUGAUUGCUGGCGCCAAACUCUCUAAAGGGCCUGCCUUUUCUUUUAUUAUAUUUUAUUCACCAAGUGAUGGUCUAUGGGAAUUUAGUCUAGCUGUCAAAGAAUAUCACAUUUAUGAUACUUAAAUUUGUUUAGAUUCCUGGUCUGUACGAUGAAAACAUUCUCUGAACAGCUAUUGGCUCUACAUUUUACCCCAUCCAACAGGGGAAAGAGAUAAGAACAAAGCAAUAUGUUGCAACUUAACUAAGGGGGUGUUUGAUAUCCAUUUUCUUGUAAAAAUGCAUUUUAGAAUAAUAAAUUGAUGGGAAAUGUGUGGUUGAAAAAUAAGGAAAUUUUUUUGAUUUACGUAUAAUAUUAUUUUAAUAAAGAAUGUGUGGUUGAAAAGAAGAGAAAAAAAUGCAUUUUGAAAAAAAUGAGUACCAAACGGGGCCUAAGUUAUUUGUCGUUGACAUUUUUCAUGUGCCCAGGUCAGAGAGCUUGAUGCAAAUAUCAGAUGGGAUGACAUUGGGAACCCGAACCUUCUAUCAAAGAUGGACAAGGAGUCCAAAAAGUCAGCCAAAUUAUUCAAAAAAGUUAUUAUACGUAGAAAGUGCUCUGAGGGAUCAGUGGUUAGGUAUCUUCUUGAUUUUGGCAAGAGAAGAUUUAUCCCUGAUAUUGUUGUGAUACACGGAUCCAUGCUUGAAGAUUCCUCUAGUGAAAGGAAGAAAUAUUGGCUGGAAGAGUCUCAUGUUCCAUUGCAUCUCCUGAAAACGUUUGAAGAGAAAAGAAUUGCUCGCAAAUCAAAUAAGACAUGCUCUGGAAAACUUCGUGAGAGCAGUGUGGUAACGAAUAAAACCUUCAAGGAAAAGGGAUUUUCAUACCUUUUCUCAAGAGCAGAGAGAUUGGAAAAUUAUCAGUGUGGACACUGUAACAAAGAUGUUCUCAUCAGGUAUGAUAUGAUUAUUAAUUGUUAAUAUUGGAAUUUCUUUUAGAAAAAACAGGACUAUAUUUUUAUCAAAGAAAGGGAAAAUGAGUGGCAGUAGAUAACAAGUUGUUCUUAGACAAACAAGACCCUUCUAAUAGUUCUUAGAUUCGAAGUAAAAUCAAAAGAUAACCAAACAUAAUAUGCAGUUACUUUUGAAUAUGCAGUCUUGCUUUAUAGUUGUAGUUUUACAACAUAAGGUUUGAGUCAUUCCUUUUGAUAUUUUCUUUUGUGAGGUUAGAUAAUCUAGAUGGUUAGUUAAUUUUUAUUUUUUUUAUUUUUCUCUGUUGGACAUGUGUGUUGGUGUACCCACAUUGGCUUUCUUUAUGGUAGAUACAUGAUUUGAUAUUGGUGUGAGGUUAUUUGUGCAUGGACAAGUUUUUCCUUUUAUGUUACAAAUUAUAUGCGUAUUGGUUUAAAAGUAGUAUGUAUAUCCAUGAUUCAUUAAUUUGAAUAGUAUUAGAGAACGUUGUGGCUUAAACUGUUUAUGUUUGCUUGUGAAUCACUUUUUGGCCUCUGAAUUUGCAGUCUCAGUGAUCAGUUUUCUCUUGUCCAUUUGCAGGGAAGCAGUGAGUUGCCAGUACUGCAAAGGUAAACUUCUCUUUGUGGAAGAGUUUCUGGUUUAUGUGUUUCUUCAAUUAUCCCUAUAUUGCAAAGACAAAUCAAUUGUUGCAUUUGCCAAUCUGUCUUCAUCAUUGUUUAAUUCAGCAUGCAUGAGAAAGGAAUUCAAAGUAUUUUGAUUGUUUAAACAUGGUUCAAAUUUCUUUUAUUAGUCUACCAUCUUACUGUUUCAUCUUUUUCUUUUCAUGCUUAGUUGGUGCAAUCACAACAAAUGUUGAAAUUUUAUUUUACUUGGACCAAUUUAAACCCAUAUAUUUCUGUUUGCAAACCUGACUUUUCAAAAUUGUUAGGCAAAACUAGUUGUGUUAAAUUAAAUCAACAUAUUGAUUUGGAGUUGUGUAAUGAAAUUUCUGGACUUUCUUCAUUAUCAGAUACCAAAUAACUUUCUCCUUCUAUGUUGCCUGCAGUGUUUCUGUAGGAGUUGAUGUACAUAACUGUAAUCAUCCAAUACUUACACGAUUGAGUUGUUUAGUGUUGGCAUUCUUUUUUUUUUUUAUUUUUUAACUCGGGCACACUUGUUAAUCACAUUAAACUUGAGACCUUUAUGCUUUGCCAUGAAAUAGAGAUUAUCACAACUGUUCAUUUUCUUUAGACCACUGAAUGAUGAUUUUUUUGACGUUUUAUGCUUUGCCAUGAAUUAGAGAUUAUAUCAACUGUUCAUUUUCUUUAGACCCUGAAUGAUGAUUAGUUUGGACAGUCUUAUUGGUUUAUCAAGGCUCACUGGAAUUAUUGCUUUAUGUUCAUUUUGGAACUGAAAUUUUUCCUACCUGCAUGCAGGAAUAGUUAUAGAAUAUUGUUAAUAAAUAUAACUCUACUGUCAAUUGUAUUAAGCGUGUAUCAUUUUCUAAAAUAUUUUCCCUUAAAUAUUGAACUGUUCUUCUAGUAGUUUUCUUUUUUACGUUAGCGAUGAUCUGGAUUCGGGGGUUGGCUUGGCUUUGCUAUUGAAGGUCUGGUGGUGCUUGAUUGUGCCUUAAAAAAGUUUGUUAGUGAUUUUUAAUGUGGGUCUGAAAUUGAUGGUAGUUGAUGCUUGUGCCAACAGAAAGGUGCCAGUAGCAGUUGGGUGGUGCUGGCAGUGAUGUCAGGAAACAGUAAAAUAAGGAGAUAUAUUGGGGUUACAAAUAUAAAUUUGUAUCUUUGUGGAUUGAACUAGUUUUAAAUUUGAAAUAGUGGAUAUACUACAUGCUUGAUUCACGUGACUUCCCAUGAUUUAUGAAUUACUUCUAAAAAACACUUAAAAUAUCAACUUAUUUAUAUUUUUAUGGAUUUUCAGGCUUUUUCCAUAAAAGACAUGCAAGGAAGUCUGCUGGGUCCAUCGUCGCUCAGUGUACAUAUACAUGCCAUAAAUGUCUCGAUGGGAAGUCCAUGGAAAUGGAUACUAAGACGGGGAAGUCCAAGCCACCAAAAAGUAAGAAAGCAUCAAAAUUAUUGAAGCCGUUGGGCUUCAGAAAAGGGAAAAAGUUGGGCAAAGACAGGCAACGAGUGCAAUCCCAAAAGAAUAAAAUGGUUCAACUUCUUGUACCCCUGCGCCGUUCUGCCAGGCAUGCUAAACCUGUCGUAAAGACGUCCGUGCUGGAUACAAAGAUCAAAAGACGGAAGAAAGGGAAACAAGCUAAAUCAAAAAAAGACAAACCGAAGAAGCCAGACAAACUGAAGAAACCAAAAAAUAGUAGUUGGCAGAAGAAGAGAACGCUGGUCAAUUAUAGUUACUGGUUGAAUGGUCUUCGGUUGUCAAGAAGGUUAAAUGAUGAAAGGGUGAUGCAUUUUAGAAGUAAUUUGCUUGUCCUUAAUGGGGAGUCGACUUCCAUUGCAUGUAUGCCGAAAUGCAGCCUCUGUGGUGAAUUAGAAUUCAAAUCUGAGCUGAAUUAUGUUUCUUGUGAGAUAUGUGGAGGUAACAAGCUUUACACGUGAUUUAUCUUACUUGCACUAAAUAAACACACGUAUGCUGUGAAAGAUUAUUAUCUCUAUCUUGAAUUAACUGCUGGCUGAGAAAAAUCGUUUUAGAGUUAUUGCCUGUAUAAGAAUAACUCUUAAUAUUCAUGAUAGAUGACAGUUACAAUUUUAUAUAGUUACGUAUGCAUGACUGACGUUUGGCACAACCAGCUCAGGGAAGGCACCCAAAUUUGUCGAUAUAAUUAGUUUACUAUUAAAUUACAAAUUUUCACAAUUUGCAGAUUGGUUUCAUGGAGAUGCUUUUAAUCUCAAAGCUGAAAAAGUUGAAAAGCUCAUUGGAUUUAAGUGCCAUAAGUGUCUUUAUAAGAACCCUCCAGUUUGCCCCCAUGUUUGCUACUGAAAGCAGCCAAGCUGUGCUUUUUCCAGAAAUUAAUGUCGGGUGUGAAUGCACUGGGAAAGAAUCUACUGGUCUAUCCUUCUUGGAGAAAACAUUUACUGAUUAGAAAUUUCUGCCAAAUGAAGAAUCUAAUGAGGCGUUCUUGAUUGAUGAUGAUCAUGAGAAGCAAUCAUCCAAUUCCUGAUUCUAACCAGAUACAGGCAAGUGAUGCAAAAGCAGGACUUUAAAUACUAUUUCAGAGUAGAAAACAGCAGUUGUUAACUUCAGCGAGGAAGGAAGACCUCUUGAUGAAUUGGUACCAACAGGAGAAGACCUUGCUGGAAGCUGACCAGGGGAAGAAGCCAUGUUUACAUUGUUGAUGCAUGACCAUUUGAAGAAUGGUUUGAUAAACUACCCUUCUGUAAUCUGUAGUCAGUAGAACUCUUCCCGACUAAUCCUAGUUGUCCCCAAAAACAAUUUUUGUGGGAGAGAAAAUAGAUUAGAGUUCGUAGUUCAUACUUACCUUUAUACAAGAGAUUGUGCUAUACUCUAGGCGCUUAAACGUUUUCGUGAAUCUAGCUGAAACGAAAUGAUUCAUUUCAAUUUAGAGCAACCGAAAAAGCGAAGAAUUAAUUUGUUGCUCCUAUUCUUCUUCGAAUAUCCUCAUGUUUUUGGUGAGUCAUUAUUGCCAUAUUUGGUGCUGAAGAUAAUUCUUUAAAUGAAUACAUAUAGCCUCUCUUUAAAUGCUUAGCUUUUAAUCGAGAUACUUCAACAUAACAUCGUAACUAAGCAAAAGACAUGAGUUCGAGUCUCAUUGCCAACUUUUAAAGGAAAAUUGUGAAUGAUUUAGACAUUGGAUAAAAAAAUGAAUCUGAUCUGCAAGUUAGAUCCAUGCUGAAGACGAGAUUUAAAAGAACAUGUGUGGCUUCUCUUUUAUAGCUUAAGCUUUUAUACAUAAUGGUUCAACAUCUGGCAAUAUUUGUGUUUUUGGAAACUAGCUGCUGGUACAUUUUGCAUCUGAUACUUGGCACAUGGUUUGUUGACAAGUUAUUGACAAAAUAUGGAGUAUCCAGGAUUAAUUUCAUUGUUCUUUGAAUCAUUUCAGGUGGCAAUUUUCUUUUUCUGUAUUCUUGUAUCGUGUUGAUUAAAAUCUAUGUUUUUUGAAUUAUUUGACUCUGUUCUAUAGACCAGAAGCUUGGAAGGUAUUGCUUUUAGUAGUUCUCUACUAUUGUUAUGAGGAUGUACCUGAGUCCUUUACUAAUUUAACAGUGUUACUGAUGGAGAUUCUAAUGGAUAUUUGGAAAGACUUGCCAUAAUUAGACUUGAUUUUAGGCAAAAGAAUAAGACCUAUAUUUUGAUUGAUUUUCGAAUAUUUUGUUUCGUUUCCCUUCCAUAAUCAUUAGGUUAAAUUAGGAAUUUCCCUUCUUCAUUAGGAGUUUUAAGCUUAAAAACUGGGGAUUUUGUAUUAGACAUACUAUUGCUUAUUGAAAUAUUGAAUACAUUGAAAUCUGCUUUUUCCCUCUUUCUCUCUGUGUGCUUCUCUCUCCUUUCUUCAUAUCUAUAUUCUAUGUAUACCUACUAUGCUGCAUUGGUUACUCUUUUUCUGUAACUUGAUCUGUCUUUGGUAUACCAAAUUCUUCAUGAUCAUAGUUAUAGAAAAUCACCUGUUAUAUUCAUUUUCAAAUUUUUUGAAGUGUGGACGAAUGUAGUAGUUAGUCUUUUUUUUUUUUAUGGCAUACCAAAUUCUCUAUUGAUCUGAAUUUAUUAAUUUUUUCCAAUAAAUGAAAAUUUUUGAUGACCAUGUGCUAACUUGUUUCACAUACAACAAUGUGGCACUCUAAAUUGAUUAAGUAUGAUAUCAAAUGUCGUCUUCGUAAAAUGGAAGUUCUUGUACUCUGAUACACAACAAUGGGGCAUUUUAAAUUGAUGAAGUAUGAUAUCAAAUGUCAUCUUCUUAGAAUGGAGAAGUUCUUGUACUCUAAACUCUGCUUUAAUAGGAUUUUUUCUUUAAGAAGAAGAAGAAAAUGCGCAAAAAAUAUGAGAUAUAUUUGUUUGAAUGACAUCUCAAUGAAUAUUAUGUUGUGUGACUGACAUUUUCUGUUUGCUUCCUUACUUUGAUUUUGUAGUCAUACACUCAGCAAAUUGUAACAGGGGUGCUAUAAACUUUUUGUGCCUUGCACGUGAACUGGAGGCUGUACUAUGGAUGUGGAGUUGGGGACGAAGUUAACAUGAACUCACUUGGGAAGUGCUUAAAUGUAAGUUCUAGUUACUUUUAGUUAGUUAUGUUGAGGGAUAAAAUCCUUAAACCCUAAAAAUUUCACAUCGAAUAAGGAUGAAAACAUAAACCAAUAAAUGCUUGGGUUACUUCUCUUAAUAAGGUUGAUCUUUUAAGAUGGAACCCUAAGUUUUAAUGAGUUAUUUAGUGCAUGUUUGGCAAAGUUUAAAAUUUGAAUUGGUCAAACAUAUUUUUAUCCACAUAUUUCAUGGGACCCACAACUUAUUACCACCUAUUAUCACACACAUUCCGUGGGUUACAAGCACUUAAAAGUACUACCAAGCAAGCACAACCUAACAUGAUUUUCAUAAUUGCUUCUUUUACUAACAAAAUUUACUAUUCUGAAAAGUGGGCUUUAACUUACCUUCCGGAAAAAGUAACUUUUAAGCAACAAGAAGCGUGCUCAAGUCAAAUUUUGCUAUUUGAUUCUUAGCUUCUAAUUUGCCUUUCCAGAAAUAUUACCACAUUAUUUUGAGUUUCUUCUCUGAUGUGAAUUCCAUCAAUUUCAGUAAACAGUCCUGGUAUGCUGUUGCAAAUUACAGGGUACUAAUAAAAAUCGAACAAGGAAAUCGACGAGACUGGAGCACAAUCUAGAGAUUAGCAAUUAAAGCUCAAGUAUCAUCUACUAUUGCUUUCUGCUAAAAGGUUUGUAUUUUCUUCCCUAGUUAUUGUUUUCAUUAUCAUUUUCAAAUAUUUAUGAUGAAACCAUGAUGCUAUGAAUGUAACUUGAUUUGCAUGUCCUGAAUUUUCUCGAAGUGACGUAGAAGAGGUUUUGUAAAGGUGUGUUAUUGGAUAAUGUUUGAUAAUUGGAAAUAAGGGUUGAAGUGUCUGUCUGGAAUCAUUCCUAGUUAUGGACAGUGGUCUCGUUAAUUGUGUUUUAUGCUUUUGUUUAGAAGGCAAGAAUCAUAUAUUUUUCCUUGUACAUGCCUGGAUAUUGAGAAGGCUGUAUUUGCAAGUUUUUUCAUGUUAGUUUUGGUGGGGUUUAGAAUUACUUAAAAACUGUUGGGAAAGUAAGGAAGGACAAGGUGAAAAAUGAGACGUAAAUUACACGAGCACUUAAAUUUCUUGUUAUAAAGUAAAGAACUAUGGAACAUUUAGGGAUUGCUUCAUUCGACUCAACUCUGCAGAAACCAAAUAAAAAAGCUACGAACUUUGGGAUACAAAUUUCAAACUUCUCAUUUAUGUUCCUUCUUUUGGUUCUAGACAUCUUUCAUAUUAUUAAGUCAGUCGUGAUCACUGAACACGGAUGCUGUUAUUUCUAUAAACUGACUUAUUUUAUCUUUCGUUUAAACUCAGGUAUGGAUUCAACAUCUCUUUGCAUAUCUACUUGACUCGAGAAAACGUUCUUUGUUGUGUUAUAUUCUGUUAGGAGGAAAAAUAUUGUUCAAUGUACCAUAGAAAGGAUCAUACUGUGGAUAUGAUUUUCCUGGCUCAUGAUUUCAACGAAAGCUCUUAGAUUUGUGGGUUUGUACGCAUUGUGUUGUAUUUUUGCUUUUGGAUAUAAAUGAAACGUUUAUUUUGGAUUUCUAAAAGUAGAGUGAUCGACUGGAGUACAAUGGUUGAGGCAAGAC
This 8308-nucleotide long non-coding RNA is filed under the name Olea europaea subsp. europaea. Lineage: Eukaryota; Viridiplantae; Streptophyta; Magnoliopsida; Lamiales; Oleaceae. The record is from RNAcentral.